GCGAACGCUGGCGGCAGGCUUAACCCAUGCAAGUCGAACGGGCAUAGCAAUAUGUCAGUGGCAGACGGGUGAGUAACGCGUGGGAACGUACCUUUUGGUUCGGAACAACACAGGGAAACUUGUGCUAAUACCGGAUAAGCCCUUACGGGGAAAGAUUUAUCGCCGAAAGAUCGGCCCGCGUCUGAUUAGCUAGUUGGUAGGGUAAUGGCCUACCAAGGCGACGAUCAGUAGCUGGUCUGAGAGGAUGAUCAGCCACAUUGGGACUGAGACACGGCCCAAACUCCUACGGGAGGCAGCAGUGGGGAAUAUUGGACAAUGGGCGAAAGCCUGAUCCAGCCAUGCCGCGUGAGUGAUGAAGGCCCUAGGGUUGUAAAGCUCUUUUGUGCGGGAAGAUAAUGACGGUACCGCAAGAAUAAGCCCCGGCUAACUUCGUG
This 434-nucleotide ribosomal RNA is filed under the name uncultured bacterium. RNAcentral's name for it is "partial 16S ribosomal RNA". It matches the Rfam family "Bacterial small subunit ribosomal RNA", at positions 29 to 507 of the family's 1533-position model. The record is from RNAcentral.